This 484-nucleotide ribosomal RNA is filed under the name uncultured bacterium. RNAcentral describes it as "partial 16S ribosomal RNA". It matches the Rfam family "Bacterial small subunit ribosomal RNA", at positions 28 to 523 of the family's 1533-position model. The record is from RNAcentral.
GACGAACGCUGGCGGCGUGCUUAAUACAUGCAAGUCGAACGAUGAAGCUAGAGCUUGCUCUGGUGGAUUAGUGGCGAACGGGUGAGUAACACGUGAGUAACCUGCCCCGAACUCUGGGAUAACUGCUGGAAAUGGUAGCUAAUACCGGAUACGACCCUCGGAGGCAUCUUCAGGGGGUGGAAAGAAUUUCGGUCAAGGAUGGACUCGCGGCCUAUCAGCUAGUUGGGGAGGUAAUGGCUCACCAAGGCGACGACGGGUAGCCGGCCUGAGUGGGUGACCGGCCACACUGGGACUGAGACACGGCCCAGACUCCGACGGGAGGCAGCAGUGGGGAAUAUUGCACAAUGGGCGCAAGCCUGAUGCAGCAACGCCGCGUGAGGGAUGACGGCCUUCGGGUUGUAAACCUCUUUUAGUAGGGAAGAAGCGAAAGUGACGGUACCUGCAGAAAAAGCACCGGCUAACUACGUGCCAGCAGCCGCCGUAA